Molecule: ribosomal RNA, 114 nt
Filed under: uncultured bacterium
Lineage: Bacteria
Description: partial 16S ribosomal RNA
Rfam family: Bacterial small subunit ribosomal RNA
Source: RNAcentral
CGUUCCCGGGCCUUGUACACACCGCCCGUCACAUCACGAAAGGGGGCUGUACUAGAAGUCGUGGUUGGAACCUUCGGGACCGCCACGCCGACGGUAUGGUUCCUGAUUGGGGUG